GCCUGAAAAAGGUAGCUCAGUUGGGAGAGCGUUAGACUGAAGAUCUAAAGGUCCCUGGUUCAAUCCAGGGUUUUGGCA
Molecule: transfer RNA, 78 nt
Filed under: Perca flavescens (yellow perch)
Lineage: Eukaryota; Metazoa; Chordata; Actinopteri; Perciformes; Percidae
Description: tRNA-Phe
Rfam family: tRNA (bases 6-75)
About the family: Transfer RNA (tRNA) molecules are approximately 80 nucleotides in length. Their secondary structure includes four short double-helical elements and three loops (D, anti-codon, and T loops).
Source: RNAcentral